UGCGCAGGCGGAAUGAUAAGUCAGUGGUGAAAUCCUACGGCUCAACUGUAGAACUGCCAUUGAUACUGUCGUUCUUGAGUACACUUGGAGUGGGCGGAAUGUGUCAUGUAGCGGUGAAAUGCUUAGAUAUGACACAGAACACCGAUCGCGAAGGCAGCUCACUAAAUUGUAACUGACGCUCAGGCACGAAAGCGUGGGGAUCAAACAG
This 208-nucleotide ribosomal RNA is filed under the name uncultured Bacteroidota bacterium. Its description in RNAcentral is "uncultured Bacteroidetes bacterium partial 16S ribosomal RNA". It matches the Rfam family "Bacterial small subunit ribosomal RNA", at positions 568 to 775 of the family's 1533-position model. The record is from RNAcentral. Lineage: Bacteria; Pseudomonadati; Bacteroidota.